UACGUAGGGUGCAAGCGUUGUCCGGAAUUAUUGGGCGUAAAGGGCUCGUAGGCGGUCCAUCGCGUCGGGAGUGAAAAGCUGGGGCUUAACCCCAGUCCUGCCUCCGAUACGGGUGGACUAGAGGUAGGUAGGGGAGAACGGAAUUCCUGGUGUAGCGGUGAAAUGCGCAGAUAUCAGGAAGAACACCCGUGGCGAAGGCGGCUCUCUGGGACGGUACUGACGCUGAGACGCGAAAGCGUGGGGAGCGAACAGG
RNAcentral lists this ribosomal RNA (253 nucleotides) under uncultured bacterium. RNAcentral describes it as "partial 16S ribosomal RNA". It matches the Rfam family "Bacterial small subunit ribosomal RNA", at positions 524 to 776 of the family's 1533-position model. The record is from RNAcentral.